CAAUCCCUGUGAGCCGAGCUUGAUUCUGGGCAUUUUCACAUUGCUUUCGGCAGCCAUUAUUCAGGAAUCCCCGUCUAUGUUAAUGGAUACUGAAUCGAAUGGGAGGAACAGGUAAAAUAAUCAGGGUUGGUCUACAGUGCAGAGAUAAUUAGAGCGUGUUUGAUUGUGAGAAAAUAUUACUUAAAAAAAAAAAUAUUUCUCAUCUUUUGUGAAAAAUAAAAAUCACUUGAAAAUAUUUUCCUUAAAAAUAAGAAAAAUUAGGCGUAUUUUCAAAAGUUGAAAAAUAUUUUUCAUGGAAAAAAAAUAGCAAUCAAACACUCCAAGUGAAAAUUUGGUUAGAAAGCUAAUAUUUUCCAUGAAAAAUAAGUGUGUUUGACAUGGAAAAUAUUACCUAGAAAAGAAAAUAUUUUCCAUCUUUUGUGGAAAAUAAAAACCACCUCUACCCAAGGAAAAUAUUUUCCUUAAAAACAAGGAAAAUAAGACAUAUUUUCAAGAGUUGGAAAAUAUUUUUCAUAGAAAAAAAUAGCAAUCAAACACUCUAAGUGAAAAUUUGGAUGGAAAACUGAUAUUUUCCAUGGAAAAUAAAUAUAAUCAAACACACCCUUAUUGUUUGUAGCUGGGUUAAUCUUGUCUUAUUUUUCUUUCUAGACUCACUAUUAUUCUACUAAAUAUUAAUUUAUUUCAAUUAGGUCACUAAACUUUGAUUUAGUUUCACAUUACACCAUUAUAUCACAUUUCAUCUUCUAUAUUCCCAAACUAACGAAAUUUAAAUAGCUGGCAUCCAUAUUAUAAUCGAUCAUUCAUGUAAUCAUCUUGGGUACCCUAAAAAUGAAAAUCACAAUAUAAAAAUUAUUGUAAUUAUUUAACUCCCUGUUUGAUAGAGAUUAAAAUAUUCAAAUUUUAGUACAAGUCAAAAUUAACAAUUAUUUUUACCAAAAAUUUCAUGAAACACAACUUUUUAAUCACAAUUUAAUCAAUUUAUUAAAAAACUGAUUUUAAUCUCCACCCAACAAGGUAUUAGAUUAAAAUGUUUAAGUAUUUUUCUUAUCCGCUUUAUCACCUUUAGGACGUGGCAUAAUAGUAAAUUGACAUCCCACACAAAAAUCAAAUGCAAUGUGGUCUCGAGUAUUCUAUAAGUUUGGGAGACGAAAUGUGACAAUUACAUAAAAACAAAAACAAAAAUAAAAACAAAUUUAGUCCAAUGACCCAAUUGUAUCUAAAUUGAAGUAUAGGGAACCAAUUAAGCGGAAUUUGUCUAAAAGUUCAGUGACCAUAAUUGAAAUUCACCCUUCCCCCGUCUCCCCCACCCCCCACUCCCCCAACUUUCAUUUUGCUUACGUAAGAGAUGACACAAGAAGUUGAAGAAGAAAAAUAACAUUAGAAAUUUAUGUGAUGGUAGGUGAAGAUGAAUUAUCAUUAUGAAGCUAGUCUUGGUGCAGCUGCUUUCCAAGUUGACAAGGGAGGAGCAUUGAAGUUUCCCAAUUCCAAUGUUAUCAUAUUUGACUUUAGCAUGGACUUUAUCCUAAAAUGGUUAGAAUUCCUAUUCCAAUUGAGAGAGACUAGAGAGGCUUACACAGGAUCCCUUCAAAUCAUACACAAUAGAGAGUGAGGGAGUAUUUUUUAGCAAUAUUUUACGCACAUAAGACCCUCAUCAUGUGAGUAUUCUGGAAGGGUUAUGUGGCCCCUACAUAUGGCAAAAAUCAUUCCAAUUUUAGCGUUAUCGACAAAUUUUGGUAAAUCUACAUUAUUUAUUGGGAAAAUUGCAGCAAAGGCCCCAAACCUUGAAAAUAUUAACAGACUUUCCCCAAACUUUUAAUUUGUUGCAAUUGUCAACCCAAAUCUUACGAAACGUUGCAGUUGAGGCCCUUUUGGACGGUUUUCAUCCAAAUGUCUGUUAGUUGACUAAAAAUUUUGACUUUGACCAAUAUUUAAUAUUUUUGGAAGGGUAAAAUAGUAACUCUUAAUUUAUUACAUUAAAAUAAGUUAGAAAUUAAAUUAUAAAAAAUAAGAAAUAAGAAAUUAAAAAAAAAAGAAAAAAAAAAGGCCAGUCAUCUUCUUCCUCUAACCCCCACGUCCAUCCCCAAAAUCAAUUACGCCACCGGACCGCCACCUCCAUCUCCACCCCCACCCCCAGCUAACACACAAAAAUAUGAAGACAAUAAUUCGCCCAUUGCAUCCAACAUAUACAGCAUAUCCCCACCAAUUUGCUGUUGCAUUUUGACAAAUGAAACCUUAGGAAAAUCUGCAUUCUUCACAUCACAAAUGGGAAUGGACCCGAAUUCAUUCACAGCAUAAAAUGAUUCAUAAAAAAUAAAUUACAUCCUCACAAUAUAAUCGUGCUUCGUCAAUGAAUUUCCAGGAAUUUCCCCCUUUUCAUAAUAUGUCAGAUCUCCGUGUCAAUUAAGAAUCGUGAAGGCAAUUAAAUUCGAGUCAUUGUAAGGGUUGUGAGAGAGAAUGACCUUUUGAAUAAAAUAGUCGUGCAUUUUUCUUAGAGUAAUAGACCUCAGCACCUGGAGGCUGGAGUGUGUAUUCACGACCUAUGCUGUAGAAAUCGAAAUUUGAGACAUUUGGGACAGUUGAAGACGCUGGGAAAUUAACUUUGGCACAUGUGAUAGGGUUAAUAAGGAAAAUAGAGCUAACUAGGGAGGAACCAAUGCGGCGAUGGCUGGGGAAUGCUUCUGGUAGCGUGAGGUUGGGAAGGGAGUGGAGUGAGGGGUGGGAGGAAGGAAGGAAGAAGACGAUUGGCCUCUUUUUUUCUUUUUUUUCUUAUUUUUUAUAAUUAAUUUCUAACUUAUUUUAAUGUAAUAAACUAAGAGUUACUAUUUUAUCCUUCCAAAAAUAUUAAAUAUUGGUCAAAGUUAAAAUUUUUAGUCAACUAACGAACAUUUGGAUGAAAAUCGUCCAAAAGGGCUUCCGCUGCUACGUUUCGUAAGGUUUAGGGUGACGAUUGCAACAAAUUAAAUAUUUGGGGAAAGUCUGCUAAUGUUUUAAAGAUUUGGAGCCCCUACUGCAAUUUUCCCUUAUUUAUUCCUUAUUACAAUACUGCUUUCAUUUUGUCGUGGCAUUACCUUUCAUGGGAAGUGUUCUCUUGCAUGACCCUAUUGAUCUUCAACUAUUGCUUGACCGCCCCGCCCCGCCCCGACCCGACCCGAUGGGGACCUCCUCGAAUGGGGGAAAAAUCGGGUCCGACUGGCGGGGUGGGGCGCGGCGCGGUGCCGCGUUGUAGGGCGGGGAGGGACUGACCUUUGAAGAGGAAAAAAAUUAAAAAUAAAUAGACAAUUCACUCGUUAAAAACUCAUUUUGAAUUUGUAUUUUAUUCUCCAAUAAUAGCAUAAUUCGAAAUAAAAAACAAAAAAAAAAGGGGUAGCAAACAAGGCAAAAAGCUGCCCCACCCCACUGCCAUCCCUACAAUUUGUCAAGAUUAACUCCAGCUCGGUUCAAUAAAAUAAUAAAGAGUAAAUAUAUAAAAAAGCACCCAAAAACUAGAUUUCAGCUCAUAGUAAACUGGACAAAUGAUCAUUCAUCAUAGGCUUACUUUGAAAUCACACAAAACUUAACCUCAAUUUUAAAUUUACGAAUAAAUAAAUCCAAACUUCAAAAACGAACCUUUUGGCUCAGUUCAAUGCUUGUUGAGAGCUCAUAACAUAUCAAUAACAAGAGCUAGUUGCAAUCAAAGUUGGUAAAUUUAAAUCACGAGAUACUUAGAGGGAAAUAAAGGGUUAAUCGUGACUUCAAUAGCCAAACGUGAAUCAAUACGAUGUUGGUAAUAUCAAUCAAUAUAAUCAAUUGUUAGAUAUAUAUCAUAUAUUUUAUCUAAAAGAAAGUGAUUAUACUGAGAUAAAUGGUCGAGUGGUCAAAUAUAUAGAAUUUAUGUUGGAGGUCAAUGAUUCAAAUCACAAUCAUUGCGAAUAUUUAAAAUUCUAUGAUUUAGCUUUAGGGCCUUGAACUUUUUUGAUUAAAAUAAUUUUUUUUUUCUUUUAUUAAUGUUGGUUCUUCUCAAUUAUGUUCAAAUUUAUAAUGUCAAACUAGCUAGUAAAAUAUAGUAGUUGGAUGGGAUAAGUUAGUAGUAAUAUAAUAAAAAUAACAGUUUUAUUUUAUUGAAUUAUGAAUUAUUAUUGGGAAGUUACAAUUCCUAGUUGAAAUCAACCACAUCUUAUGUACUUUUAGGCAAAAUCAAUUCUAGAAAUUUUAAUUUUAUUUUGUUCUUGAGCAAAAUUUGAGAGUUUUGGAAAAUGCUUGUGAUUGUUGUAGUGAUUCAAUGGUUGUCUCCUAGGAGUAACUGUUCAAAGAGAUAACAAAUGUUAUCGACAAACAACUUUACUUUAAUAUAUCGUACUGUCACGAAUAAUUGAUCGUUCGAUAAAUCGUCUAAUUUUCUACAUUUAAUUGUUUGAAAAAGGUAAUGAAAUUAAUUUCUCCCUCAUCCCCCCCUUCAAAGCCUUUGCAACUCGAUGGCAAACUGGUACAUAAAAAUUAAAUAUUCAUGUAAUAGCCAAAAAUCUAAGGUGCCAUCUAAGCUCCAUCCCGCGAUGUCAAAUACAUAAACUUUUUUGUAAUAUUAGCAGCCGGAAAUUAACUAUAGAAUUAUUGCAGCGUUAAAGAUAAUGAUAAGUGUGUUUUUAUCAUAGUUAUCAGACUCGGACCGGACCUCAACCCGAAUAAUGCAAUGGGUCAACGGGUCAGUGGUUUAACCGUUGACCCGGUGGUUCAACUGGCGAGUCAAUUCCUAUAAAAAAUAUUAUUAAUUAUUUUCAUUGAAUAAUAAUUUUUUUCCCAUUUUCUACAAAUAACUAUAUUAACUUCAUAUUAUUCUGUCAACUAUAUAUCAAUUUGUAUUCCAAUUUCACAAAUUCUAGAUCAUAUAGAGAGAAAUAUGGAUUUGAAACAAUAAAAACAACAAUCAAUGAUUAAAAAAAACUACUUUAUAUCCAUGUUACAACAUCACAAGCAUUAAUAAAAGUUUUGUCACUCUCCAGGUUACAUGCUACCAGUUAAUCAACCCUUGCAUUAAAACAUCAAAAGAAAAGACUUAUCCAUGAUAACUAGAAAUUCUAGACGAUGUCAAUGAUUUCUCUAAUAUUGCCAAUUAUUGGUAAAGGAAGAAGAAAUGAUACCGAUUCAAUAAAUAAAUCAACAGAGAAACGCAAACUAGAUUGGUAUAAAUCACAGUAGAUAAGAGCUCAGAGAUCCACAAAGCAACUAUUCAAAAGCAUAGCACAUGGACCAACUUAAGCAAAAUAUUAAUCAAAUGAAGUUAGUUCAUCUAAAAAAUAAAUUAAAACCACCAUCAUAAUCCAUUUUUUAGCAACCAGUAACGCAAAAAUACUCGGACGUUAACUGGGUAAUAAUCCAAAGAUGAAGAAAAACUAAACACUAAAUAGAGUCUGCUCUUUAUUCGAGUAAAGCAUACAUUAGGUAUUUUUUAACCAUGACAUCAAGAAGCAAUUGUGGAUAUACACAAGCCUGCCAUCUGAAUCAAAUGUCUAUCCAAGUGAGGAUAUACACCAGCUAGAAAUGAAUAAAUACAUCACCUGAAUCAAAUGCUACAGCAAUGGCUAGAUGAAGCCAACAACUUUUUUCACAUAAUAUUAUAAAUGCCCCUCUAAAUCGAUAAAUUUAAUUAAAAACAGUAAAAAACUACUGGGGUGGCUCCGAUACAUUGUUGAAUACCAAAUUCCACAUUUUUUUUGUUCUAUAAUUCAUAUGCCAUCAUACCCAGGACAAAAUUCCACAUUUUUUUUGUUCUAUAAUUCAUAUGCCAUCAUACCCAGGACAAAAUUCCACAUUUUUUUUGUUUUAUAAUUCAUAUUACUUAAAAAAGGAUUCAUCUGACCGAGACUAACCUGCUCUUCCAUCUUUUAAAACUUGAAAUUGGAGAUUUGGAUUCUUGGGAGUUGAUGAAUUGCAAGAGAUUGAGACCGCGGCUGAGGUUUUUAAUUUUGCAAGAAUCCCUAAUGUCUUAGAAGUUAGAAAUUGUGAGGAGACGACGUGGGGAAGGAAACUGGAAGGAAUCUGUGAGGAAAGGAAAGUGAAACACAGUUACUUAAGAACCGGUCGGGUCAAUCCAAAGUCGGUACCCCGAAUCUAUGUAAAAUCGCCGGUUCUAGCGGGUUGUUGGCAGGCUGAUUUUUCAUCCAUAAAUUCCUCACAAUCGGACCGAUCUGGGUCCGGUUCGACGGGUUCCGAACUGAACCGGCCGAUCUGGUUCGGGUCUGAUAACUAUGGUUUUUAUACACUUAUUGGGCACCUUUAAUAAGCUAAUUAAUGAUGUAAUUGAGUGAAUUCCUAUUCAUAAUUGUGUAAUUAUGGUGUUUGUAGAUUAAAAGUCCAAAUUGAGAGAGAAGAAGGCUAAAGGAAGGGGAAAAAAAAAGGACCAAAAAUAUGACUUUGGGGACUAAGAUGUACAGGUCAAAAAGUUCAAGGACUCAAGUUGCAAAUUAUGAAGGAUUUGAUUGAAAAUAAGUUCAAAAUUUAAGGACUAAAUUAGAUGAAACCAAAGUUGGAGGACCAAACGUGCAAUUCUUUGAUGACCAACUGAAGAGAAGGGAAAAGAAGGCAAGGCGCACGCCUAAGCCUGUAGGUAAGGCACGUGCCUCAACUCCACUUUUGGGCAACUGAGAGCAACCAAAAGGCUAAGGCCCGCGCCUUAGGUUGAAAUUCAAGACCUGUGCGUGCAUUUUAAAUCUUUUUAGGGGCUCUUCUUGCAAUUUGUUUGGGAUGAUUUUUACUCCUUUUAAACACUCUUUUCACCCAUUCUCAACAUUCUUCUUCAUCCAUUUUAAAACCCUAGCUUAGAAAGAAAAGGGGGCGAACAAAAAGGAGAGGAAAAAUCACACAAAGAAGAUAAAAUCUUGGAAAAAUUUAGACCAAAACCAAGCAAGAUUCAAGGAUCCGACCAAGGGACAUGUUUAUUUCUUUGUCAUGUAUUUCACAUUAUAUUUUUCUCAAUUUUUGUGAUGUAUUUCUUUAAUCCUUUCAUUUUGUGCCCUAUAAAUACAAUGAGCAAAACAUUUUGGUGUCGGGAUGAAUGAGGAAGCUUGUCUUAACUAUAUAAAUUUCUUUAUUCACUAUUUUAAUGCUUAUGUUCUUGUAUUUUUACCAUUACAUUGAGUGUAUUAUCAUUAUUGUGGUCACUAUGUGAUAAUGUCUAGUGAUUUGUGUGAUUAUUGAGAAAGUGUUGCACAUUUUAGAUUAAGGUGGUAGAAAUCCUAGGUUCUUGUGGAAAUAGAGAUAAACUCCUACUCUUAGGUAACUUUUGAGUUAUUUUCAUUGAUAUUUAAUGCUUUUGAUUGUGCUUAAUCAACAUAGAAAUAUAACAGGUUAAACCAAUUGAUUAUGGUUAGUUUCACUUGAGAAAUGUAAUUAACUAAAAUAGGAAAAUCGGGUUUGACAAGAAAACUGAGUAAUGUUCUAUUGACUUGUUAUGAAGAAUUAAUUUAGUGACUGCAAAAUGAAAUCAUGAAUCCUAACCUGACUAAAAUCCAACUUUGACCAUAACUGUAAUUGGGUAUUUUAUUUGAAUGCUUAGAAGUAUAUUCUUUUAAUCUUUAAAUUCAAAGAUAUUAAUUAUUUAAAUUCAAAGAUAUUAAUUAUUUAAAUUCAAAGAUAUUAAUUAUGUGUGUCAUGACUAUUAUUUGGAUCAACUCUCGUGUAAUUGGACUAAACACUCUUCAAGGGAUCACUUAGACUCAAAAAGUUCACACUAUUACGUGUGCGCGACCCCUGCACUUGCGAUGUAGCAUUUUAGUAAACAGGUAACAUCAAUUAAAUAUAAUAGUCACGACAUAAUGACUGACCUUAUACAAUAAAAAACAAUUUCAAGAAUCAUUGAUAGGAAUAAGAACCCAAACCUUCAAUGAGCAAUUCUAUGUUCAAAUGCUGGAUUCUAAGACAAGAACAUUCUUGCGGGGCGUCCUACUUUGCAUAAAUAUGAAAAUAAUAAUCAAUAUGUGAUGAUGUAAACUGCUCCCUCUUAACAUUGGUAUUUUAAGAUAGAAUUCAAGAUUCGAUAUAUAGACUUCAAAGAAACACACAAAAUAUAGACUAAUUUUUAUAGAUCCUGGAGUGUUACUAAAAAAUUGAUUUUCUUCACGUAAAUGAGGCAACAUAAAAAUAAAAAAAUUCCUUCAUUUUCAAUGAUAAAUAAUAACUAUAUGCUGACCAAAACAUGAAGUUUAUAUCUUUUCGAAACGACUUUGAUCGACCAGAACUAACUAUAAAUAAUAAACUAGAUAAUAGAAAACUUAACGAUUCCAUUGUCUUCAAAUCAUGUUGACAAUCCUCAUCACCAUUCUAUAACAAAUUUGAUAACUAAUUGUAAAUUUUGUAAAAGUGAGUAUUUAACACUAGCUAGUAAAAAUACAUAUGAUUUCUAUAACAUAAUUAAAUAAAUCAAUAAAAUAGAUAUUGAUUGGUACAUAUAUAUUAAUAAAAUAAAAUAAAUUUAACUUUUAUCCGAAUCACUUUGCACAUGUUUGUUUAUCAUUCUCCAUAAACUCUUUUUUUUUUCUUUCUCUUUUUUUUUUUUUUUUUUUUAAACUUUUUUUCAAUUUUUUAACUAAACUUUUUUUUAAACUCAUUUUCAACUUUUUAACUAGACAUGCUCUAAGAAUCACUAUUCCAAAACUCCAAUCAAUCGAAUAUUGAUUAAUGCGUAAUUGAUCGAACACUACUUGCAAAUGGCUUUUUUGCUCAGAAACAUUUAAAAAAAAAAAAACUCUCUUUAUUGGACAUCAAAUAGGGGCUUAAUUAGUACAUAAGCAUAUAUACAAACAUGUAAUCAUGGCCGCCUAUUUCUUGAGUCCAACUUAUUUGGAUUAACUUUUCUCGAGCCAUAGUGCAUCAUUUAAUACGAGAUUAGUUUUUAACCCUACAAUAUUUAAUUAUUUGACCCGAAUAAAAAUAUUGUAUUAAACACUUAUUUUCUCUUUAGUCGAUCAAUGAUUUAAAAUUAUCAAAAAGCUCCUAGGUCAAAAUUCUUAUCGCUAGAUAUUCUUAUUCUAUAAAAUUUCCAGAGGAUAGAUUUGCUAUGUUAUUCUAUCUUAUGGGUCACAUUUCACAUCAAGACCAGAAAUAGAAAAAUUAGUUAGAAGGUGUAAAUAUGAAAAAUUGAUUGAUUAAAUUGCAAUGAGACAAAUUAAGACGAUCAAUUUAAGACCAAAAAAAGAGUGAAAAAUGGGAAUAUUCUUUAAAAUAUGGUAACCUAACAAUCUUAAUUUUCCAUUGUUUUGAUGGUAACCUCACUUUGAGCUUUUAGACCGCAUUCUAAUUGUAGAUUUCUUGUUAAUCGACAAAAGAGAAAUGUAGACUUGGAAUCUUUAAUACCUUGAACCAUACAAAAGAGAAAUGUAGAGUUGCAAUAUUUAAGUUUAAUACCUUGAACCAUGCGAUUAUAUCUCCUACCUAAUGAUUAUGAACCAAUAACCGAUUGAAGAGAAAAUUAUUGAUACGAAUCCCUUUGGCCUAUCCACAAAUAUGGUAAGGCAUUCCCAAGUCCUAUUUGAAUUAAUCUAUGGAGAUUACGACAAAUUCCAUUCAUGAUUUGAAUUUUUAUAACAUCAAGAUUAGAUGUACCAAACAAAAAGGAAUAUCAUUAAGUAAAUUCAUAUGAAAUUUAUCCCAAAGAUUAGUAACGAAGUCAUUUACAAUGAAACUAACUACUAUUAACUAACCAAUCGUCUACUUCUCAAGACUCGAGUAUUCAUGGUUGUCUUGGAUCCUACAAAAUACCUAUGUGAUGGAACUUAUAAACUUUCGUAGUUUGGCUGAUAAAACUCAUUAGAGACAAAAGUGAAAAAACAUGGACCAACGAUAAAUCGGUCCGGUUAGUGCUUGAAAUCAAACUAGUUACAGUGACUACCAAAAGCUCUAGCAUGCCCAAGUAUUUUCCGAGCCAAGGCAAAGAUCAAGAGCUGGCCAAACGUCAACCCGCACACAUGGUCUUACAACUAUGCCGAAAAAAUGGGAGAAACCCCAACCUCAUAAACCAGUUCACCUUUGACCCUUUUCGCAAUCUGUCUGGUUGAAUUUAUAAAAUUUUAGUAAAUUUUUGCUGGCUGGUUUUAAAAGCACAAUUGGUAUGUUUAGAAAGGUUUGUUCAUGAGCUAAAAAAACUUUUAGUUUCACUUUAGAAGUUGUAAGUCUUUAAAGCUAAACUCGAAAUUAUAGAUAUAAAAUAACUAUCAAAUUAAAUCCCAACAGUUUUCAAGGAGAUAAAAUUUCUAGCAAUGAAAACUGCUUGCUUAGAACAUUUGAUGCCAAUUUUAUUUCGACCUCUUCACUCCAAUGGCAAAACGGGCAGGCACAAAGUGAUCACACAUGAUAAGGUAUUAUUAUGAGAUAGAUAAAGCGUUCUUUAUGCGGCUGCUUUCCAGGUUGACAAAGGUGGCGUGUCUGAAUCUUUCCAUGUAGGGAUAUUGGGUCCAUAUCUCUCGCCCUUGACAGCAUCGGCCGAAGUAAUAGAUUCAAGUUCGGCCAUGUCUUCUUCCGUCAGUUUUACAGACAAUGCUCCCAUGUUUUCAUUAAGGUUCGUAGAUUUCGUUGUACCAGGUAUCGGACAAACAUCAUUUCCUUGAUGAUGUACCCAGGCCAAAGCAAGCUGUGAAGGGGUACAUCCCUUUCUAUUUGCAAUAUCCUUGACCCUCUCGAAUAAGCUCUUAUUAAGCUCCAGAUUCUCGGGUUGGAAUCUUGGUAGACGCUGCAAAAUGUAAAAAGAGUUUUAGCAUAUACAUCAGUUUCAAUAUUGAUAAUUAAGAUUGUAAAACUACACAUUUUAAAAGCAGGAACAUCAACUAAUAACGUGCACGCUUCAAGGGGAAAAACUUGUAGCAGGCAUUAGAACUAUGUAACGACAAAAUUUAAGACUAGGACUCCAUUUGGUACAGCAUUAUCAUUGAAAAGAGGGAUUAAUGCUGACUGAAAUUCAUCAAACAGUUCACUUGGAUGCUCAACUCAACAGGUCUUAUAGAAAUACAAAAUUAAGGUAAUAUAAUUGUGGAACACCACCUAUUUUCAGAAGCUUAAGUUUUCCAGUUCUCUUCUAAGGAUGAUAUCGUCAUAUUAUACUGAAGUGGUGGACUUUUAUCUUGAAAUAUAAAUCAAGAGAGAGAAAAGAAUUACUUACAUUGUUUUGGUAACUGUAAUGUGAAUGUAUUGCUACCAGCAUGUUUGGUUAAACUUUAAAAGUUUACUUAAUAAAUAUGUGUGUGUGUGUAUUAUGGUAAAAGUUGAAAAUAAGUAAUUUAUUUUGACACCAAAAUAAAAGUUAAUUUUAAAAAUAUAUAACGUUUUUAUUUAAAAUUUAGACAAAAGUAAGUUAUAUGCGUAUGCAAACAUAUUUGAAAACAAAAAGUUACUUAAAAGUAGUUGUUUAUCUUUUUGGAGCUUACGCAAACAUGAUCUUGAAUAAUUAUAUGUUCAAAAGCUUGCAUUUCAAGUGAGGGCAUAACUUAUAUUCAUAAUUCCAGAGAUACUUAGAUAUUAUGUGUAUCAUAAAUCCAAAAAAUGGUGGUGUGCACAAUGGCUACACAAAAUAAUUCAUGGUUGAAUAGGAAGCUCAUAGGUGAUAGAAGAAUAAAACAAACCAACCUUUCGAAAGUCCACUUCAGAGAAAGUUUCAACGACUUUUGGACCGGAGGAGAAGAAUCCCCGUCCAAGAGGACUGUAUGCUACUAUUCCAAUGCCAAGUUCUCUAAACAAUUGUACCAAGGAUGUUUAGAUUUAGAACUCUAUAUUUCUUACUGGCUUGAAAUAUAAAACCAUUACAAUAAUCAUCAAACCUGCAAGUGGGAAUUAUUUCUACCUCAGCAUCUCUUGUCCACAAAGACCACUCCAACUGCACUGCUGAAAUUGGAUGAACAGCAUGCGCCCUUCUGAUUGUAGAAGGUGAGGCCUCUGAUAGACCAAUAUAUUUUACUUUACCUUCUUCCACAAGUUUCUUUAGUUCUCCCAUCUUGCAAAAAGAGGGAUCCAAAGUAAUUAGGAGAGGCUUAAGAAAGAAACAUGCGGAAUCAAAUCUAAGAAUAAAAGGGAGACAUCCAUAUAUAUAUAAUCAAAUAUGUACAACAAUAGGCAGGUUGAACAACAAUAGGCAGGUUAUGUUGGCUGUAGGAACUACUCUACUAUAGUGCCAUUCCUGAAGAUUCCAUGUCACAUUUUCUAGAUUUAUCAAAGGUUUGAAUUGUGAGAUUAAACCAAAACUCUUUUUUAUACAUCAUUAGAGGAAGGUCGGGUUAUAGUUAGCUAUUAAAAUUGAUAAGUACCUCCAAUCUCAUCCAGUUAGAUGUGCACCUCACGUGUCAGAAGAUUCUCAACAGUUUCACCCUACUUCAUUCACUAAGUCCAGUAUUGAAUCUCAGUUUUGCAUAUCAUUGAACAACAAAUAGACAAAGCCACAGACCCAAACACUACUGUUAAGACUAAAAAGAUUCGGGGUAGCGAUCGACUUCUAAAUAUCUCCAUCAUGGCUGGAUGCAAGAAAAGCUGUAUUCUUUCAUCAGACUUCAAAAGUUCCGGGGUUCGUGCCCCCCCCAGCAUUUUUCCAUUACAUUAAUAUUUAUUAAGCUGCUAACUAGAUUCGAAAAUCUUGUAGAUUUCACUUAACGAAACAGCAGAAAUAAUGGAGGAAAGAGCAGUAGUAUAGUUUUGUCCUCACUCUGUCAUUAUUCUGAAAUAGCGGUGUAAUGCUUCCCUUCUACAUUGACUAUACUCAGGUUGUAGUGAAUACUCGAAUUUACAUUGAUCACGUGGUAUGGUGCUAACUUGUUCAAAAGUAUGUCUAUUCAACUCCAAUUACAUAACAUGGUUAACAUAAUUGAUGAAACCAUUAAACUAUCACUUCGCUUUGUCUCUAAGGUUAAAUUAAAGUUAGAACUUAGAGAAAGCACAACCUACUUGAGUGGGUUGAUCAAAGCUGAUUGAGAACAAUACUGUAGUCAAGAAGACAGACUUAUAAUUCACCAAUUUGUCAAGAUUAACCCAAGCUUGGUUCAAUAAAACAAUAAAUAGUAAACAUAUACAAAGGCAACAAACAACUAAAGUUCAAUUUAUAAUCAGCAAGAUAUAUGCUUGUUCAGUGUAGGCUCAAUUUCAAAUUUAUUAAGAUAUCAAACCAAGUUCCAACAACCCACCUUUCGGCUCAGCUCAUUGGUACAAAUGUGGAAAAGCCCGUAACAUAUAGAUAACAAGAGCUACAUAUGCUCACACUAAGUAAAACAAAAUUAUGAGAGAUAUAAAGACAAUCAAAAGAGAACACAGGGUAAACCGUGACUUCAAUAGGCACACGUGUAUCAAUGCGAUGUUGGUAAUAAAGAUCAAUGCAAUCAACAUCAAGCCGCUUCAAGCUAGCCUCGCAGGCAGCCCGUACAUAGGCUGGGUCGCCGCAUAUGUCAUUCUUCCCAUCAGCAAGUCUAAACCCGAAUUUCGUAGCUAACUCCACUUUCUCCCUCAUUCCAUCCUUCAAAGCCUAUGCAAAGCCACGAUUUGAUACCAAACAGUAGAUGAACAUUACAAAAACAUUGAUACGUUAAAGAUGGGCAACCCAUCCAAGAAGCGAAAGACACUAAACAGACUAGCCAGGUUAAGGUUCAAGACGGCCUAUGCAAAGCCACAAUUUGAUGCCAAACAGUAUAUAAACACUACAAAAGCAUUGAUACGUUAAACAUGGACAACCCCUCCAAGAAGUGACACUAAAUAGACUAGCCAGAGUAAGGUUAGAGACUAGUGUCCAUAAGAGUAAUAAUGAAGCUGUAAAUUUGCCUGAAAAAUUUGUCCUUCUCCAGCAAAAAAGGAGUUACUUUGAUAGCAUUUCCCCAAUCAAUGAGACAGUCCCAAGAAUAACGAAAGGAAGUUAAAACGUAUAUGGCCAUAUGACGAAGGCCUCACAACGAAGAUAACACCUUAAUCUAGUUCUGUUGAGUUCCACGAAUACCAGAAAAAGAUUAAAAAUUGGAAGAAACUACCAAUUUAUAAACUACAUAAAAAUAAAAAAACCAAAUAUUUAUGGGAAAAAAAACCUUAAACCAAAUUAAGGGUUUAAAUUCCAUGACUUAGUUAAACAAUAUACCAAUAAAUAAAUAAAUAAUAGAAAUAGGAAAUAAAAUGUAUAAGGAAUCUGAAUCAAUCACCAUACAAGCUCAGUCUUCCCAGUUCCCAAAUCUUGUACAACAUUUAAGAAUAAAAAACAACACAAUAUAUUCUAUUUCUGCAACUAAUAUUUUACACUUUUUCUUAUAUAUUUAGAAAUAAACAGAAUUGAGAAAUUCCAUGUGUAAUUACUAAUUAAAGUUGCAGAAAUACAAGUGCAUCUAUGUCUGUGUCUGUGUGUUGGGGUUAAGGAAAUAGGGUAAGAGUACCUACCUUCCCGAGGAGGAUUUCAUUGGUUUUCGGCCCAUAGAUGUCGGAGGUAUCAAGGAACGUGAUGCCGGAAUUUAGUGCAUAGUGAAUGAGUUUGAUCAUGUCGGGCCCGGGCUUCGGCUGGCCGAAAUGUGGCGUCAUGCCCAUGCAUCCGAGUCCUUGCACAGACACUUCCAAUCCCUGUGAGCCGAGCUUGAUUCUGGGCAUUUUCACAUUGCUUUCGGCAGCCAUUAUUCAGGAAUCCCCGUCUAUGUUAAUGGAUACUGAAUCGAAUGGGAGGAACAGUUCAAAUAAUCAGGGUUGGUCUACACUAGACAUAAUUAUUGUUUGUAGCUGGGUUAAUCUCGUCUUAUUUUUCUUUCUAGAAUCAC
Molecule: long non-coding RNA, 14723 nt
Filed under: Olea europaea (common olive)
Lineage: Eukaryota; Viridiplantae; Streptophyta; Magnoliopsida; Lamiales; Oleaceae
Description: long non-coding RNA (OEUR_LNC002356)
Source: RNAcentral